This is a long non-coding RNA of Polistes dominula (European paper wasp), 216 nucleotides long. The record is from RefSeq and is a predicted model, not a curated record. Lineage: Eukaryota; Metazoa; Arthropoda; Insecta; Hymenoptera; Vespidae.
UUGUCGAUCUUCUAAAUCUACUGCUGCUGAGCGACAAUACAAUAAGAAGAACAGAUUAGCACUAGUUAUUGACUCCACAACUGAUGAGGACACAGAAUACGAACCUCCAAAAAAACAAAAAAGGGGAUUUAUUAAGCCAGCUACACCUAUGCCGAAAAUAUGUGACGAAACUAAACCCAGCAACACUAACACACCCAAUUUAUCAAAUACAGUGCU